CAAUAGCGUAUAUUAAAGUUGUUGCGGUUAAAAAGCUCGUAGUUGGAUUUCUGCUGAGAACGACCGGUCCGCCCUUUGGGUGUGUAUCUGGCUCUUUCUUGGCUUCUUCUUGGUGAACGUUGCUGCACUUGACUGUGUGGAGCGCUACCCAGGACUUUUACUUUGAGGAAAUUAGAGUGUUUCAAGCAGGCAUACGCCUUGAAUACAUUAGCAUGGAAUAAUAAGAUAGGACCUCGGUUCUAUUUUGUUGGUUUCUAGAGCUGAGGUAAUGAUUAAUAGGGAUAGUUGGGGGCAUUCGUAUUUAACUGUCAGAGGUGAAAUUCUUGGAUUUGUUAAAGACGGACUACUGCGAAANCANNNGCCAAGGAUGUUUUCAUNGA
This 380-nucleotide ribosomal RNA is filed under the name uncultured eukaryote. RNAcentral's name for it is "partial 18S ribosomal RNA". It matches the Rfam family "Eukaryotic small subunit ribosomal RNA", at positions 592 to 976 of the family's 1831-position model. The record is from RNAcentral.